Molecule: RNA transcript, 4552 nt
Organism: Apis cerana (Asiatic honeybee)
Lineage: Eukaryota; Metazoa; Arthropoda; Insecta; Hymenoptera; Apidae
Gene: PIP4K
Gene name: phosphatidylinositol 5-phosphate 4-kinase
Source: RefSeq, a predicted model, not a curated record
GGUAAGAUAUGGUUGUCCACGCCGUUUUUAAAAGGAGUUCAGUCGCUAAUCAACUGCGGUAGGAUACAGUUGGGACCUUACCGCAAACAUCAUAUAGAACUUGCGACUUUUUCGUGUUAGAAUCGCUGUAUGAAGCAUUUCGCGAUGAUGACAGUGUAAGAAAUUUAUUAUACUCUUUAUUAAGUGUAUAGCGGGGGUGUUAUUAGACAUAUUCGUAGCAGGCAUCAACGCAAGAAACAUGUCUAGUGUACCACAAAUGUCUAGUGGGCUUAGCAAGCUCAAAAAGAAACAUUUCCGAGUUAAACAUCAAAAGGUUAAGCUGUUUCGUGCAAAUGAACCUCUUCUUAGUGUUUUUAUGUGGGGUGUCAAUCAUACGAUAAAUGAGCUUAGUCAUGUUAAUAUACCAGUAGUACUCCUACCAGAUGAUUUCAGAGCUUAUAGCAAGUUAAAAGUGGAUUAUCAUUUUUUUAAUAAGGAAAAUAUGCCCUCUCAUUUUACGUUUAAAGAAUAUUGUCCAUUAGUAUUUAGAAAUUUACGAGAAAGAUUUGGUAUAGAUGAUUUGGACUACAAGGAAUCAAUGACAAGAUGUCGGGCAUUUAAUCCUUCCCUAUCAGAGAGGCAUUGGAAUUUGGAUAAGAAUGGGAAGACUCAUAAAUUGGUUCAACAUUCUGCUACUACUCCUUCAAUAACUUUUUCUCCUCCUCCUGUUCUUUCACAAAUUCCAGUCCUAAGUAAACCAUUACUACGUUCCUACAGUUUUAAACCAAAGCGUCUGAGAUCACAACCUAUAUUAGAAGAUUCAUCUGGAAAAAGUGGUGCAAAAUUUUAUCAGUCUUAUGAUAAAUUGUUUAUUAUUAAAACUCUUACAGGAGAAGAAGUAGAAAGAAUGAAUUCAUUUUUAAAACAUUAUCAUCCAUAUAUUGUGGAAAGACAUGGAAAAACUUUAUUACCUCAAUAUCUUGGCAUGUAUCGUUUGACAGUAGACGGAGUCGAACAUUACGUCGUUGCUAUAAGAAAUGUAUUUUCAAAUCACCUAACUACUCAUAAAAAAUUUGAUCUCAAAGGUUCAACAGUAGAUCGUGAAGCUUCUGAUAAAGAAAAAGAAAAAGAUUUACCUACUUAUAAAGAUAAUGAUUUUGUUAAAGAAGGAAUGAAAAUUUAUAUUGGUGAAGAAGCAAAAACUAAACUUAUAGAAACAUUAACUGCUGAUGUUGAUUUUUUAACAAAGUUGCAUUUAAUGGAUUAUUCUUUAUUACUUGGGCUACAUGAUUGUGCACGAGCUGAACAAGAAAAUAGAGAACGUGCUGAGAAAGAGGAAGAAGAAGAUAAUCAUGAAGAAGAAGAUGAUAGUGAAUCGGGAAGUGGGCUUGAUUCACGAGGUCCAAUGGGAGAUCGUCUAUGGGGUUGGAGUGGUGUUGCAGGUAUGACAACUCCUCCUGAAUCGCCACAUGCUGCAUUAAUGCGCGAUACAAGCUUACAAUAUGAAGAUGCAAUAAUUCCUGAAUUAGAUAUUUAUGCAAUUCCUAGUAAAGAAGGUGCACCUACUAAAGAAAUUUAUUUUUUAGCCAUAAUUGAUGUGUUAACUCAUUAUGGUGUACGUAAACAGGCAGCAAAGGCAGCUAAAACGGUGAAGUAUGGUGCUAAUGUUGAUGGUAUAUCAACCUGUGAUCCAGAACAAUACGGCAAGCGAUUUAUAGAAUUCAUGAGCAAAGCUAUAGAAUAAGCUCCUUGUUCGUUGUUGUUAAGCUUGUAAAUUUGGACCGCUUGUUUGAAAGUCGUGAUGAUACUAUCGCUUCUUAUUACGUUAACAUUAAGUGCAUCGCAUUUGCACUUUGAUGUUUAAUCAUAAAAAUUUUUAUUUGAUAUGUCAGUACUGUUGAUUAUAUAUUUCAGUAUUCCUUAUGACAUUUACAAUUGAAUUAGAAGCAUAACCAAAUUUUAAAAAUUAUAGACUCUUAGAAGAUCUGAAGAUUUCUUUUCAGAAAAUGUUUAAUAAUUUUUAUAAUCAAUGAUAUAUUUUCUCAGUAUUUAAUUAUUAAUUUCUUUUUAUUCAAUUAUUGAUUCAUAUUCAAUUCUUUAUAUUCAAUUAUUCUCUACGUUUAAUAUUAUUGUUUUCUUCUUAUAUUCUUUACUUUUUGUUUAUGUUAUUCAUAAUUCCAAAAUAUGAGACUUAAUUUUUGUGCAUUAUAUGUUCACGUCGUAAAAGUUUUGCACAUAAUCUUUAUUUUAUAAGAUUGUAAUUGGUAUAGUUAAUAUUAUAUUCAAAAACAAAUUUUUUACAUAUAUUUGUUAAUAUCUUUUUGUUGCAUUAAUUAAUAUAUGAAUAAUGCUAACAAAAAAAUGUAUUGUAUAUUAUUUUUGAUGCACAUAAUGUGCUAUAAAAACUGCGUCAUUUGGCAGUAAAUAAUAUGUAAACUAGUUUAUGAAAAAUAUUAAAAUGAAUGUUGAUGUUAAAUAUGAUAAUCUCAAACGAAGCAUGGUUUAGUAUUUCAUGAAGAAAGCCUAUUUAUGAGAGUCUCUCCAAUUUCAUCAAAAUGAAUUAUAUUGCUUCUAAUCUAGUGUCUGUGGUGUCGUCUGGAAUGUUUAAAUAUUCGAAGUAGAAUAUAACAGUUUUUACAGUGAGAAUUUUCUUUUUUUAGUAGGUCUAAAAGAAGGAGAGAAGUAAUAUAUUAUAUGCGCAAAAAAUAUAGUAUAAGAGCUUCAAAUGUUAACAAAUUAUUAGUAAAUGUCAAAGUCUGUAAAUGUCAUUGAUCAUUUCAGUUACCGCGAGUUGAUGUUAAAAUCAUCGAUUCGUUUAUUUAGCGAAGUACAUUUACAGGGAACAAAGCAAGUUGUACGUAUUAUGCACGAUUCAUCUCUCCUUACAUGUUCAAAUUCAUACAAAUUUAAUUAGCUAAUGAUGAUUUCAUUAAGAAAUACAAUAUAUAUAUAUAUAUAUACAUAUAAAACAUUGCGAGUAAUUAAAAGUGAAAUCAAUACUGUUACAUAGUGAAUUCUCUUGUUACUUACAAGUUUUAUGUGUGUAUAUAUAUAUAUAUAUAUAUAUACAUAUAUAUAUGUAUUCAUUUAUACAUAUAUUUUUUUAAUGUCUUGAGAAUACUAAUUUCUUAUUUAUAAGAAAAAUUAUUUAAUUAAAAUACAUUCAUAUUUUUUUAUACAAAUUUUGUAGAAUUUAUUUACUGAUAAUAUUAAUUCUAAAUUAAUUCAUUUUUAAACAACUUAUACAUUAUAAAAUAAUAUGUAUAUAUCUUUAUAGUAUUAAAUUCUUAAUAUAUAAUAUCAAACUUCGCUAUAAUUAAUAAUUUUGGUUAAUAAUUUUAUUUUCAAAAACGUGCUAAUGCAAUUUCACUUUUUUAUUUGAUAAAUUUAUUUGAUAUCAGAUAAUUUCGCAUUAAUUAUAUUUUAAAAUCAUAUAACGUUAUAUUGUACAAAGGAGAAUAUACCGUUGCAUAAUACUAUAUUUUUAAAUGAUCUAAUAAUCAAUUUUUUAUAAUUUGUUAAAAUUGAUCAUAAUAUAAUGACUAAUUACUUUAACUAAUUAAGGUAUUCAUCUAGUCUUGAUACUUUAUAUGAUUUAUAUACAUUACCAAACAUUGGAAGAAUAACAAAAGUAAAUGAAAAUGCAUAUUGCCAAUAAAGCUGUAUUAUAAGAAUGGUUAACAUUAUAAAAAUACGCUCAAUUUCUGUAAUGAUAUAGAUUCUAUAAGAUAAAAUACAAAUUGUUUUCUCAAUUACAAUUUAUUAUUAUACAAUAACAAUUUUUUUAAUUACAUUUAUUACCAUUAUUAUUAUUGUAUUGAUUCGAUUUGCAAAGUUUUAAGUUGUUUAAAAUUUCUUUAAAAAAUUAAUUAUAAAUUCAAAAGCAUCCAAAUUUGUAAAUCGUUUGCUUAACUGAAUUACAAGAAAAAUUUUGAUUAUUUUUCAAUUUAAAUUUUCGCAACUCGCACCAUGUAGAAAUGAUGUAUAUAUUCACUACUUUGCUGUUGGCAGUACAUAUCCAGGCUUCUGUUAUCCUAACAUUUGUAUUAUUUACAGAGUCUGUGUUGUAUAAGCUACGGGAAAUAAAUGGACAUUUAACAUAAGACAUUUAAGAAAUUAUAAAUAAAAAAAUAUUAAAGUUUUCAAGUUCACCAUCUGUAUCUUGUUCCUGUGCGACAAGGCAAUAUCUGGAUGCUUUGUUUGUAAUAUCUUUCGGAUCUGUUAAUUGUGUGAUACUUCGUUUAUUUCGAAUAACUGGUUGAAAAAUGGUACCAACCGGAACUAAUCCAGGAGGUCGAUGAUCAAUCCAUCUUUCUGCACUUUGUGAUCUUCUAUAAUGUAGAUUUACUACUGGUAUUCUAUCCUAAAUAUUAAUAAAGAUCUUCUUGCAAAAUAUUUCGCUUUUGAAUACGCAAUUCUAAGAAACGCAUAAGUGUAGUGAUUAUUUCAUCAUUAUGUGGAUUUGUUAUAUCUAUUUCUGGAAAUGGUCCUCCAAGACUAGAAAAAAAUUGAUUACAUAAUAAAAUAAUUUUAUUAUUAUUAGAGGAUAAAUAUAUAUAAUAAGAAAAUAAAA